Molecule: non-coding RNA, 119 nt
Organism: Camelina sativa (false flax)
Lineage: Eukaryota; Viridiplantae; Streptophyta; Magnoliopsida; Brassicales; Brassicaceae
Source: RefSeq, a predicted model, not a curated record
UACCAUUUUAUCUGGUGUUACUCCAGACAUGGAGUGUUACAAGGAGGAAAUCUUUGGUCCCGUUCUUGUAUGCAUGGAGGCAAGCAGCUUUGAUGAGGCCAUAUCCAUAAUAAAUAAAA